Molecule: ribosomal RNA, 253 nt
Filed under: uncultured bacterium
Lineage: Bacteria
Description: partial 16S ribosomal RNA
Rfam family: Bacterial small subunit ribosomal RNA
Source: RNAcentral
UACGUAGGUGACAAGCGUUGUCCGGAUUUACUGGGCGUAAAGAGCGCGCAGGCGGUCGAUCAAGUCGAGUGUGAAAGCCCCCGGCUCAACUGGGGAGGGUCAUUCGAAACUGGUCGACUCGAAGGCAGGAGAGGGUAGUGGAAUCCCCGGUGUAGUGGUGAAAUGCGUAGAUAUCGGGAGGAACACCAGUGGCGAAGGCGACUACCUGGCCUGUUCUUGACGCUGAGGCGCGAAAGCUAGGGGAGCAAACGGG